AAUAAAUUGCCUGAUUAAAGGAUUACUUUGAUAGAGUAAAUUAUAUAAUUAAUUAAUUAUAUUUAUUA
This 68-nucleotide transfer RNA is filed under the name Sciara ruficauda. Its description in RNAcentral is "tRNA-Ile". The record is from RNAcentral. Lineage: Eukaryota; Metazoa; Arthropoda; Insecta; Diptera; Sciaridae.